AUACGGAGGGUGCAAGCGUUACUCGGAAUCACUGGGCGUAAAGCGCGCGCAGGCGGCUUGAUAAGUUGGAUGUGAAAGCCUACGGCUCAACCGUAGAACUGCAUCCAAAACUGUCAAGCUAGAGUCUGGGAGGGGAAGAUGGAAUUAGUUGUGUAGGGGUAAGAUCCGUAGAGAUAACUAGGAAUACCAAAAGCGAAGGCGAUCUUCUGGAACAGUACUGACGCUGAGGCGCGAAAGCGUGGGGAGCAAACAGGAUUAGAAACCCUAGUAGUCC
Molecule: ribosomal RNA, 274 nt
Filed under: uncultured bacterium
Lineage: Bacteria
Description: partial 16S ribosomal RNA
Rfam family: Bacterial small subunit ribosomal RNA
Source: RNAcentral